UUUUUUUUUUUUUGGUCUUUUUGCCAUUUCUUGGGCUGCUCCCGCGGCAUAUGGAGGUUCCCAGGCUAGGGGUCUCAUCGGAGCUGUAGCUGCCGGCCUACGCCAGAGCCACAGCAACGCAGGAUCCAAGCCAUGUCUGCGACCCACACCACAGCUCAUGGCAACGCCAGAUCCUUAACCCACUGAGCAAGGCCAGGGAUCAAACCCGCAACCUCAUGGUUCCUAGUCGGAUUCGUUAACCACUGCGCCACAACGGGAACUCCUCAUGUAACUUUUUAAAGCCAAAGUAAGCUUGACGGAGGAUAGGACUUCAGCACCCCAUAGCCAAGCUAGUCAUAUUGGAAAGACUAGGGAGAAAGCCUCUUUCACUGGAUUCAAAGGACAUUUAUCUCUUUAAAUUGUAUUUUUCCCUGCCCUCACCAUUUCUUUGUUUCUGCUCCAAAUGCUUCAGAAGAUGUCAGUUUGGGAAAUUAACCUGAACCAAAAUUCCUGAACUAGAUUAGUUCAGAAUUCAAACAUGUAAUGUUUUAAUCAGGGUCACCAUCUAGAUAGAAUGUGAGCAGGUUCUCCUAGGCUAUAAGAAGGCACCUGUGACAUAACACUGCUCUCUUUCCUCCCUCGCCAGUGAAGCCUACUGUUGAUACCAAACCUCCAGCGGCGCACACACAUCACAUUUUAAAACUGAGCAAACUACAGGUAUUUAUUCUUGCCGUCUGCAGAUGGACCUUAUGGAUUUUUAUCCCUGUCCUAAAGAGCCUUCUAAAUACUAACCUCACUAAAGACUGGCUCAUCCUCCUCCCCAUCCACCCCACCCUGGUUUCCUCGGCUCCCCUCCCACUCUUUACUGUGGCCCCCAAUUUGCCCCUUCCCCAAAUCCCAGGGGAGGGGGAUGCUCAGCCCUCGCGCCACCGAGCGCAGAGGAGCCAUGACGUCACCAGGGUGGGUGGGGUUUCUCGACAGGGUGAACAAAAGAGAAUCGACAAAAUCGAAUAUGAAAACAAGCAACUGUGUCAGAAAAUCGCCGACGCCCACCGCGGCCCUGCCCAGGUGGAUUGCUGGAACGAAUAUUUUUCCAAGAGCUUAAACAGAGAAACAAGGAACCGGGACCUAGUGAGAAUCACCGUGGAGAACCAGGGCAUCCUGAAGAGGCUGGGUGACCGCAAACCCCACUACGACCGAAAGUCGUCGGAGUUAGACUGGCAGGCACGUGGACACUCAGUGCUACUCUGCUGCACGCACAGAGUUUGUCUGUGUUCAGAGGAGAGUCAGUCUCAGAAGAGACCCCUAAGCCGCUGAGGGCGAGGGCAAAAAUCAUGAGAAAUGCAACAACUGAAUUCAAGGCGCUAUAUCAGAAAUACCACCAGAUAUCUUCUCUCCCAAGGUGAAUAGGGUUACUCACCAUGGAAAAGAUACAAGAAGAUGCCCUAGGAUUUCUCAGUUGCUUAGGAUCUCAAGACACACCUAAGUGGCUGAAUGCUCAAUCUAGGAUGCUUAUAAUAAAGCUUGGAACAUAA
RNA transcript from Phacochoerus africanus (Common warthog), 1514 nucleotides. It is a transcript of the gene named CFAP97 domain containing 1, with no coding region annotated. NCBI's taxonomy places the organism in Eukaryota, Metazoa, Chordata, Mammalia, Artiodactyla, Suidae. The record is from RefSeq and is a predicted model, not a curated record. The transcript is spliced from 4 exons.